Molecule: ribosomal RNA, 249 nt
Filed under: uncultured archaeon
Lineage: Archaea
Description: partial 16S ribosomal RNA
Rfam family: Bacterial small subunit ribosomal RNA
Source: RNAcentral
UACCGGACGAACGUUAUUCGGAAUCACUGGGCUUAAAGAGUGCGUAGGCGGCUUAACAGGUGGGGUGUGAAAUCCCACGGCUCAACCGUGGAAUUGCGCUCCAAACCGUUAGGCUUGAGGGAGACAGGGGUGAGCGGAACUGAUGGUGGAGCGGUGAAAUGCGUUGAUAUCAUCAGGAACACCGGUGGCGAAGGCGGCUCACUGGGUCUCUUCUGACGCUGAGGCACGAAAGCUAGGGUAGCGAACGGG